RNAcentral lists this transfer RNA (93 nucleotides) under Pseudomonadota bacterium. Its description in RNAcentral is "tRNA-Ser". It matches the Rfam family "tRNA". Rfam says of the family: Transfer RNA (tRNA) molecules are approximately 80 nucleotides in length. Their secondary structure includes four short double-helical elements and three loops (D, anti-codon, and T loops). Lineage: Bacteria; Pseudomonadati; Pseudomonadota. The record is from RNAcentral. RNAcentral also lists the same sequence under 1 other name.
GGUGGGCUACUCAAGUGGCUGAAGAGGCGGGUUUGCUAAACCUGUAGGGUGCCGCAAGGUGCCGCCGGGGUUCGAAUCCCCGGCCCACCGCCA